This 430-nucleotide ribosomal RNA is filed under the name Pseudomonadota bacterium. Its description in RNAcentral is "Proteobacteria bacterium partial 16S ribosomal RNA". It matches the Rfam family "Bacterial small subunit ribosomal RNA", at positions 355 to 776 of the family's 1533-position model. Lineage: Bacteria; Pseudomonadati; Pseudomonadota. The record is from RNAcentral.
UGGGGAAUAUUGGACAAUGGGCGAAAGCCUGAUCCAGCCAUGCCGCGUGUGUGAAGAAGGUCUUCGGAUUGUAAAGCACUUUAAGUUGGGAGGAAGGGCAGUAAGCGAAUACCUUGCUGUUUUGACGUUACCGCCAGAAUAAGCACCGGCUAACUCUGUGCCAGCAGCCGCGGUAAUACAGAGGGUGCAAGCGUUAAUCGGAAUUACUGGGCGUAAAGCGCGCGUAGGUGGUUCGUUAAGUUGAAUGUGAAAGCCCCCGGGCUCAACCUGGGAACUGCAUCCAAAACUGGCGAGCUAGAGUAGGGCAGAGGGUGGUGGAAUUUCCUGUGUAGCGGUGAAAUGCGUAGAUAUAGGAAGGAACACCAGUGGCGAAGGCGACCACCUGGGCUCAUACUGACACUGAGGUGCGAAAGCGUGGGGAGCAAACAGG